Molecule: ribosomal RNA, 460 nt
Filed under: uncultured bacterium
Lineage: Bacteria
Description: partial 16S ribosomal RNA
Rfam family: Bacterial small subunit ribosomal RNA
Source: RNAcentral
CCUACGGGUGGCAGCAGUGAGGAAUAUUGGUCAAUGGACGAGAGUCUGAACCAGCCAAGUAGCGUGAAGGAUGACUGCCCUAUGGGUUGUAAACUUCUUUUAUAUGGGAAUAAAAUGUUCCACGUGUGGGAUUUUGUAUGUACCAUAUGAAUAAGGAUCGGCUAAUUCCGUGCCAGCAGCCGCGGUAAUACGGAGGGUCCGAGCGUUAUCCGGAUUUAUUGGGUUUAAAGGGAGCGUAGGUGGAUUGUUAAGUCAGUUGUGAAAGUUUGCGGCUCAACCGUAAAAUUGCAGUUGAAACUGGCAGUCUUGAGUACAGUAGAGGUGGGCGGAAUUCGUGGUGUAGCGGUGAAAUGCUUAGAUAUCACGAAGAACUCCGAUUGCGAAGGCAGUUCACUGGACUGCAACUGACACUGAGGCUCGAAAGUGUGGGUAUCAAACAGGAUUAGAUACCCCAGUAGUC